UUGUGUUGUGGCUGCUAAAUCUCUUUUAUCU
Molecule: non-coding RNA, 31 nt
Filed under: Mus musculus (house mouse)
Lineage: Eukaryota; Metazoa; Chordata; Mammalia; Rodentia; Muridae
Source: RNAcentral